Molecule: ribosomal RNA, 247 nt
Filed under: uncultured bacterium
Lineage: Bacteria
Description: partial 16S ribosomal RNA
Rfam family: Bacterial small subunit ribosomal RNA
Source: RNAcentral
CGUAAAGACGCAUGCAGGCGGCCUGUUAAGUCAGAUGUGAAAGCCGGGCGUUAACCUCGGAAUUGCAUUUGAAACUAGGCAGGCUAGAGUCUUGUUAGAGGGGGGUAGGAAGUUUACAGGUUACGGUUAGCGGUGAAAUAGCGUAGAGAUCUGAAGGAAUACCAGUGGCGAAGGCGGCCCCCUCGGACAAAGACUGACGCUCAGAUGCGAAAGCGUGGGGAGCAAACAGGAUUAGAUACCCUGGUAG